CUAGCGGCAGGCCUAACACAUGCAGGUCGAGGGGUAACAUUGGAGUUUUGCUUCAGAUGACGACCGGCGCCCGGGUCCGUAACGCGUAUACAAUCUACCUUUUGGCNNAGGGAUAGCCCAGAGAAAUUUGGAUUAAUCCCUCAUAGUAUACACUACUUUCAUGAGUUAUGUAUUAAAGGUUACGGCAAAAGAUGAGUAUGCGUCCUAUUAGCUAGAUGGUAAGGUAACGGCUUACCAUGGCAACGAUAGGUAGGGGCCCUGAGAGGGGGAUCCCCCACACUGGUACUGAGACACGGACCAGACUCCUACGGGAGGCAGCAGUGAGGAAUAUUGGACAAUGGAGGCAACUCUGAUCCAGCCAUGCCGCGUGCAGGAUGACUGCCCUAUGGGUUGUAAACUGCUUUUAUACAGGAAGAAACAUCUCUACGUGUAGAGACUUGACGGUACUGUAAGAAUAAGGAUCGGCUAACUCCGUGCCAGCAGCCGCGGUAAUAC
Molecule: ribosomal RNA, 495 nt
Filed under: uncultured marine bacterium
Lineage: Bacteria
Description: bacterial SSU rRNA
Rfam family: Bacterial small subunit ribosomal RNA
Source: RNAcentral